GUAAUUUUUAUACGACCGCAAAAUUUGAAAAAUUUUUCGUCGUAUAUUGCUAUCACGUUGGCGUCGUCCGCGUCGUCGUCGUCGUCGUCGUCCGAAUACUUUUAGUUUUCGCACUCUAACUUUAGUAAAAGUGAAUGGAAAUCUAUGAAAUUUUAACACAAGGUUUAUGACCACAAAAGGAAGGUUGGUAUUGAUUUUGGGAGUUUUGGUCCCAACAUUUUAGGAAUAAGGGGCCAAAAAGGGCCCAAAUAAGCAUUUUCUUAGUUUUCGCACUAUAACUUUAGUUUAAGUUAAUAGAAAUCUAUGAAAUUUUGACACAAGGUUUAUGACCACAAAAGAACGGUUGGGAUUGAUUUUGGGAGUUUUGGUUUCAACAGUUUAGGAAUUAGCGGCCAAAAAAGGGCCCAAAUAAGCAUUAUUCUUGGUUUUCGCACAAUAACUUUAGUUUAAGUAAAUAGAAAUCAAUGAAAUUUAAACACAAUGUUAAUGACUACGAAAGGAAGGUUGGUAUUGAUUUUGGGAGUUUAGGUCCCAAUAGUUUAGGAAUUAGGGGCCAAAAAGGGACCCAAAUAAGCAUUUUUCUUGGUUUUCGCACCAUAACGUUAGUAUAAGUAA
RNAcentral lists this long non-coding RNA (615 nucleotides) under Mytilus galloprovincialis (Mediterranean mussel). The record is from RNAcentral. Lineage: Eukaryota; Metazoa; Mollusca; Bivalvia; Mytilida; Mytilidae.